This 2415-nucleotide ribosomal RNA is filed under the name Triticum aestivum (bread wheat). RNAcentral describes it as "partial small subunit ribosomal RNA". Lineage: Eukaryota; Viridiplantae; Streptophyta; Magnoliopsida; Poales; Poaceae. The record is from RNAcentral.
AUGUCGGCGCCGGAGGAGGGCGACGCCGCCGCCGCCGCCGCCCCGGGAUCGUCGGCGCCGCCCGCGCCCGCGCCCGCGCCGCCGCCGAUGCCGGAGCCCGGCGCAAUGGGGCCCGAGGAGGCCGCCGCCAGGAAGCGCUACGAGGCGCUGAUGCAGGUGCGGGCCAAGGCGCUCAAGGGGAAGGGCGCCUGGUACUGGGGCCACCUCGAGCCCGUCCUCGUCCCGCCGCCGGCCUCCGGGGCGCCCCCCAAGGCCGCCCGCCUCCGAUGCGCGCUCUGCGCCGCCACCUUCUCCGCCUCCAACCCCUCACGCACCGCCACCGAGCACCUCAAGCGCGGCGCCUGCCCUAAUUUCGCGGCGGCGCAGGGCGCCCCGCCGCCGCCGCCGCCCCCGCCCCCGCCGCAGAAUCAGCAUCAGCAGUUGCAGCUCGUCGCCGUCUCCUCCCCCGCCUCCUCGAUCGUGCCCAUCUCCUCCAUCCCCCCGUCGUCCUCGUCCUCCUCGCAGCGCCGCCACUCCACCGGCGGCGGCGGCCGGAAGCGGCACGCGCUCGCCGCGGCGUACGCGUCCGUCGAGGCGGCCUCGCACCAGCACCACCUCAUGGUCGCCGACCCGGCCGGGUACUCCCCGACGCCGCCCACCCCGCCGGGGAUGCCCGCGCCCAGGCAGCUGCUCUCCGGCGGCCGGGGCGACCUCGCCCCGCUCGCCAUGCUGGAGGACAGCGUCAAGCGCCUCAAGUCGCCCUCGGCGUCGCCGGGCGCGAUGCUUCCGCGGCCGCAGGCCGAGGCCGCGCUCGCGCUGCUCGCCGACUGGUUCCUCGAGUCGUCCGGCAGCGCCUCCCUCUCCGCGGUCGAGCACCCCAAGCUGAAGAACUUCCUGCGCCAGGUCGGGCUCCCGGAGAUAUCGCGAGCCGACCUCGCCGGCGCGCGCCUGGACGCGCGCUUCGCCGAGGCCCGCGCCGACGCCGCCGCGCGCUUCCGCGAGGCGCGCUUCUUCCAGCUCGCGGCCGACGGCUUGCGGGAGCAGGUGAUCACCCUCUCCGUCAACCUCCCCAACGACACGUCGGUGUUCCACCGCGCCGUGCCCAUGCCCGCGCCGGCGUCGGCGUCCCCUGACUACGCCCAGGAGCUGCUGCUGGACGCGGCAUCGUCCGUCUCCGCCUCCUCCGGCGACAUUCGGCAUUGCGCCGGCAUCGUCGCCGACCGCUUCGGCUCCAAGACUCUGCGUGAUCUCGAGACCAAGCACCAUUGGAUGGUGAACCUUACCUGCCAAGUCCAUGGCCUCUCCCGCUUGGUAAGCGACAUGGCGCGCGAGCUCCCACUCUUCAACAACGCUGCGUCAAAUUGCGCCAAGAUCGCCAGCUACUUCAACACCACGCCCUCCGUGCGCGCGCUGCUGCACAAGCACCAAGUCCAGGAGCACGGGCACGCCUUCCUCCUCCCCAUUGCCGCUCCGCCGUAUAAUGGCGGGGAAUUUGCCGCCGCGUUCGUGAUGCUCGAGAGCAUCCUGACCUCGGCGCGGCCGCUCCAGCUCGCCGUGCUCGAGGAGUCCUACAAGGUGGUCUGCAUCGACGACCCUGCCGCGAGGGAGAUCGCGGCCAUGGUGCAGAAUGUGGCGUUCUGGACCGAGGUCGAGGCGACGCAUUCGGUCGUGAAGCUGAUCAUGGACUUGGUGAAGGAGAUGGAGACCGAGAGGCCCCUGGUGGGGCAAUGCCUGCCUCUCUGGGAGGACCUGCGCGGCAAGGUCAGAGGCUGGUGCCGGAAAUUCAGCAUAGAAGAGGCGACUGCCAUGAAUGUGGUGGAGAGGAGGUUCAGGAAGAACUACCACCCGGCGUGGUCAGCGGCAUUCAUACUGGACCCAUUGUAUCUGAUCAAGGACGCCGGCAGGAGGUACCUUCCACCGUUCAACUACUUGACACCAGAGCAGGAGAAGGACGUGGACAGGCUGAUCACAAGACUGGUGUCGCCGGAGGAGGCGCACCUCGCAGUGAUGGAGCUGAUGAAAUGGCGGUCCGAGGGGCUCGACCCAUUGUACGCGCAGGCGGUGCAAGUCCGGCAGCCAGACCCAUCGACGGGGAAGAUGAAGAUAGCCAACAAGCAGAGCAGCCGGCUUGUGUGGGAGACAUGCCUCAGCGAGUUCAAGUCGCUUGGCAAAGUGGCGGUCAGGCUCAUCUUCCUCCAUGCAACCGCCAAGGGGUUCAAAUGCACGCCGUCGAUGACGCGGUGGCUCACCGCGCCAGGCAGCUCAGCCGGCAGCAUUGGCCGGGCGCACCGGCUGGUGUUCAUCGCGGCGAACUCGAAGCUGGAGAGGAGGGAUUUCUCAAACGACGACGACAAGGACGUGGAGCUGCUGACGGAAGGAGACGACGACAUGCUAACAGAGACUGGCAAUGUGGAUCCCUCCUCCUCCUCAGUGUAG